RNAcentral lists this long non-coding RNA (202 nucleotides) under Mytilus galloprovincialis (Mediterranean mussel). The record is from RNAcentral. Lineage: Eukaryota; Metazoa; Mollusca; Bivalvia; Mytilida; Mytilidae.
AAUGACUGUAAUAUUUUUUCUGUCUAUGAAAAAAUAACAUAAAAAAUUUGGUGCACACUGAAUAACGCGAGUAGCGGGUUAUUUAACAGUGUGCACCACAUUUUUUAUGUUAUUUCGAAUAUUACAGUCAUUUCUUAUAAUUUAAUUCUAAAUUCCAUUUUAAACCGUAGAAAACCAUGAAAAAACGUUGAUGACGUCGCGG